Pseudophryne corroboree (corroboree frog) is the source of this 3164-nucleotide long non-coding RNA. RefSeq lists it as uncharacterized. The transcript has 2 exons. Lineage: Eukaryota; Metazoa; Chordata; Amphibia; Anura; Myobatrachidae. The record is from RefSeq and is a predicted model, not a curated record.
UAAUACUAUAUCCUUUGUCACCUGAGAUAGUGAUUCCUAGAUCCCUUUCCUCCUCAGUAGUUCCAGUAUAGCGCCAUUAAUACUAUAUUUAUCCUUUGUCACCUGAGAUAGUGACUCCUAGAUCCCUUUCCUCCUCAGUAGUCCCCACUAUAGUGCCAUUAAUACUAUAUUUAUCCUUUAUGUCACCUGAGAUAGUGACUCCUAGAUCCCUUUCCUCCUCAGUAGUCCCUAGUAUAGUGCCAUUAAUACUAUAUCCUUUAUGUCACCUGAGAUAGUGAUUCCUAGAUCCCUUUCCUCCUCAGUAGUUCCAGUAUAGCGCCAUUAAUACUAUAUUUAUCCUUUGUCACCUGAAAUAGUGACUCCUAGAUCCCUUUCCUGCUCAGUAGUUCCCAGUAUAAGGCCAUUAAUACUAUAUUUAUCCUUUGGAUUUUUGAGACCCAAGUGCACGAUUUUGCAUUUUUUGGAGGCAUUAAACUGUAAUUGCCACACGCUUGCCCAUUCCUCUAGUCUACCUAGAUCCUCAAUCAUUUGUCUUACCCCUCCUGGUGUGUCUACCCUUUGACACAAAGGUAUGUAAUAUACAAAGAUGCAUUCUCUCCCUUUAAUGCCAUUUGCAGUGCACCAAUAAAGAUAUUAAAAAGCAAUGUUCAAAGUACAGAUCCCUGGGGUACUCCACUUGUAACAUUUCCCUCUUGUGAAUGCAUUACAUUUACCACAACUCUCUGUUUUCUAUCCUGCAACCAAGAUCUUAUCCAUUCAAUAAUCCUAGUAUGCAAUCCCAAGACUUUGAGUUUAUUUAGCAAUCUGUGAUGUGGGACAGUGUCAAAAGCCUUACUAAAGUCUAGAUAAGCUAUAUCCAUGGCUCCACCUUUAUCCAUCACUUUAGUCACACAGUGACUUGAUCUUUCCCCAGUGAAUCCAUGCUGUUUGGGAUACUGUAAAUUGCUGGAUUUGAGAUUAUCUACAACUCUUUCUUUUAAGAGUGUUUCCAUCAAUUUCCCUACCAAUGAUGUAAGACUCACUGGUCUGUAGUUGUUUGCUUCUUCCUUGCUUCCACUUUUGUGCAGUGGGACUACGUUUGCUCUUUUCCAGUCCUCUGGAAUUACUCCUGUAGCUAAUGACUGGUUGAAUAAUUCUGUCAAUGGUGCUACCAGCACCUCUUUAAGCUCUCUUAGUAUCCUUGGCUGUAUCCCAUCUGGCCCCAUAUAUUUGUCCGCUUUCAGCUUUGAGAGUUCUGUUAGGACCUUCUCCUCUGUAAAUGUACUUGUUUAAUUUUCCUGAAUCACUCUCCUGGGUUCAUUGUCUGUCUCUCACACUCACAGGCUCAUGCGCUCUCGCAGACUUCACCGUGUGUCUCUCUUAUUCUGUGUAUCCUGUGUGUGUAAUGUGCAUACACUCCUUAUCAUUGCCCGUCUCCUCGUGCUAUGGCCUGUGUGUGUACCGGACUCUGGAGGGGGGCUGCGUCCAUACUGCACCACGAGAGUAGCUGCUACUCAGCCACGGUUACAUCCCGUUCUGCACUGAGACACCUAUAUCAUGCUGACCGCCACCCGCUCACAUUCUGUAGGUGAGAGAUUAGUGCUGGAUCAAAGGUGACCGGAUAUUUUAAGAUACUUCUGUUGAUACAAUAAAGUUUGAAAAUAAUGCAAAGUAUACCAUACCAAUACAAUUGUUGGAGGUUAUAUUGGAUUUUCAGACAUGAUUUUCCUCACAAAUAUGGCGUGGUCAAACCGAAAAAAUCCAAUGUGUAUAAUGUAUUAGGAGAAAAUAAUUUCCCCCUUGUGCUCAGAUGAUGAGGUGGCCGUCCGGCUUUUCCUGACAGAAUCUCGCCACCAGUAACAAUGUACUGAAAAGUCAAUAGGCGUGUGUGGCCGAGACCUACAUGAAGGUGUCUUAUCAGAUGCUCUGUACCAGAUCAGACCCAAAGCUAAUGAGGAAAUACCGCGUACCCCACUCCACAGAGAACGGCUUCUUCUAAGUGCUGGGUCCACACAAGAUCAAUGUAGUGAAAGUAGAUUUACUCCGAAACACACUAAAAUGGCUGCAUGGGUACAAUCCAGUGGCCCAGGUAGGUGUUAUACCACGUGGGUGGUGAGUGGUACAGUCAGUAACAGGGAAGAGGUCCGGACCUGAACUAAAACGUCCGCAUGCCCCCACGCUGCUGGAACUAUAGUCCCUGGGGUUGUCCUGUUAUAGGCCACUGGUCUUUGCACCACGACGUUACAGUCCAAACAGGUGACGUAAGUGUGUGGAGGUGUUCAUAGCACAUGAGCGGGAGAUCUGUAUGACGGCCUCGCUGCACACCUGACACCUCUCAUUCUCUAUUCCUGCAGUGAGAAGAAAGUGAUCUACAGCCAGCCUUCCGAGACCCGCAGUGACAAGAACUUCCAGCAAACGUCUUCCUUCCUGGUGUGAUGUGCCGCUGUCCCGUCCUCUGCUGCAGUGGAAUCUCUAUAGGGCGUGUGCGCAGGAGAGGCGUGGGAAUACUAGGAAUUAGCGGUUAGAUAUUUAUAAUCCCAGGCUCGCUGUAUCACAUGCACAGGGCGUUCUCUGAGCUGCUCGUAGCCAUUUGUACAUUUCUCCCGCUCAUAAAUACACCUUGUACCCAGCCCACCACGUACAGCUCAGAUAUUUAUUCAUCUGCGGGUCAGACCCUUGGAGCUUUCCAUGGCUAAUAGGUCUUGGUUUGAUCCUGCCCCUCCGGUCAGGCCUGGUCAACAGAGGACCACGGCCACCUACUGACCAUGUUCUCCAGGAAUGCCGGAACGUUGUACACCCAUAGGCCCCAUUUCCACACGUAUCGCCCACUACAUGAGAUAUGACUUCCUGCAGUCCCCUCCUUAUUGUGUAUGAAAUGAGCCUUAGUGUGCUGCAGCAUUGGGCAGAAUCAAUGAGAUGAACCAGCGCAAGUUAUACUAUGAGAUCGGCAGUUAUGACAUCAUUAUUCGCAAGAUGGACGUUCUAAGACUUCUGGGUACUACGCCAUAGCUGUAAUCCCUGGCGUUAAGUCAGUGGCCAUUUGUUUCCAUGGGGGUGGGAGAUGACGGGGAUGUGUGUGUGUGUGUGGGGGGGGGGGGUGUUAUGUCUACACUAUUUUUACAUUCUUGUGUUUUUCUAUCAAGUUUUAAAUCUACAUGUGGGAAUAAAUCUCCUGAACCAAGAAA